Molecule: ribosomal RNA, 495 nt
Filed under: uncultured bacterium
Lineage: Bacteria
Description: partial 16S ribosomal RNA
Rfam family: Bacterial small subunit ribosomal RNA
Source: RNAcentral
GACGAACGCUGGCGGCGUGCCUAAUACAUGCAAGUCGAACGCUGAAGGAGGAGCUUGCUUCUCUGGAUGAGUUGCGAACGGGUGAGUAACGCGUAGGUAACCUGCCUGGUAGCGGGGGAUAACUAUUGGAAACGAUAGCUAAUACCGCAUAAUAGUAGAUGUCGCAUGACAUUUGCUUAAAAGGUGCAAUUGCAUCACUACCAGAUGGACCUGCGUUGUAUUAGCUAGUUGGUGAGGUAACGGCUCACCAAGGCAACGAUACAUAGCCGACCUGAGAGGGUGAUCGGCCACACUGGGACUGGGACACGGCCCAGGCUCCUACGGGAGGCAGCAGUAGGGAAUCUUCGGCAAUGGACGGAAGUCUGACCGAGCAACGCCGCGUGAGUGAAGAAGGUUUUCGGAUCGUAAAGCUCUGUUGUAAGAGAAGAACGAGUGUGAGAGUGGAAAGUUCACACUGUGACGGUAUCUUACCAGAAAGGGACGGCUAACUACGUG